GAUUAAAACUCCUACCAUGGAGAGCCAUCCAUUCAUAAAGUUAAUGGUGCUUAAACCUUAUGAAUUAAACAAGUCACAGAUGAUGCAAAUGUGAACUAACCAUUGAUUGUAGAUAGUCAGCCCCCAAAUAGCCACUAGUUGUUAGGAGCCCUCCUACCAUCACAUGCUUGGGCUGGCCCCUUGGGCUAGCUAAACGGGCCUGGCCCAUUCUGGAACGACCAAGGCGAUAAGAGCCUGGGAGAGGCGACGUCCAGGGCAUCCAGUGGAUCACGGCUUUGGCACGGCGGCUCUCUUCCCCUACCUCUCGUCCUCCUCCUUCUGUUCUUCCUGAUCCCCAAACCUUGUAUCUCCAUUGGUGUUGCUUGUAAUCAAAGAUUGUAUCCAAUAUAUAUUGAGAGAGACAUCUGGUACCCUACAUCUGGUAUUCAGAGCCAGGCCACCACCCUUUCACCAUCCAAUUUUCCCCAUUUUUUCUUCCACACCGAUUCAUCCGUUUCACCGGCGACGACGACAUGCCUGCCGACUUACCUCCGGAGUGGGAUGCCAUGCCUGCCAACGAGCAGUUGUUGUGGUAUCACAAGAGAUUAUGUGCUAAGGCAGAGGAGAUGAGCGCACUAUUGGGUGUUGCAAGCGCUGGUGACCCUCAUGUGGUUACCUCGCUUGUCGAUCCGGCAGCGUCAACCAUGACGCACACCUCGUCCAUGCUCGUCCCCAACGUCUCCUGCUCCACCACGAAGGCCCUGGAGAUUCCCAAGGUCGCCCAUGAUGCAACCCCGGUCUGCAUCGCGAUGUUGCCUAUCACCUGUUCGACGGAGUGCUCGACCCAGGUCGACACCAUCGACAACAUUGACGAGGUCCAUGAUCCCGCCACCGCCGUCGACCUCGAGCCCACGGUCGUCCCCAUCCACCAAGCAGUCGAGCAGCUCGCCCCGGAGCAGGCAAUGGCCUCUAGUGUCGAGGUCGUUUCUCAUGUGAAGACCACCACCGACGUCGACCCCAAGGCCGGCGUGCAGGAGCUCGAUGCCCUCUCUGUCGACACCUCCCCCCAAGUGAUGAGCAAGGCAGACCUCGACGUCGCCCUCAUCUUCUCCAGCGACCCUGCUUUGCCGGUGCUCACCAUGUGUUCGACAGGCAGUCUAAUCCAGGAUGGCGCAUGGGUGAAACCUGUUCAUCUUGUGGACAAGAGCAAAACCUCGUGCCUACCAUCGAUACAACACGGAAUCAGGAAGCAACCAUGACCGUCACUUGUGCGAGUGAGGACCAGACACAGUGGACACCUGUGAGGCCUAGCCCGUGGCCGUCUUUCAAGUUUCAUUCAGAUGCAAGUUAUCAGGAGGAGCCCUGUUCAGGUAUAUGUUGUCAAUCACAUGAAGUUUUAUGGUUCAGUUCUGAACUCGUUUUGAGGUUAUUCAGAGAUGUGGUUUUCCAUCAAGUUUCUUGUUGUGAGGUGAUUGCCAUGGAAGAGUACAUCAGUUGUUUGUCAAAUGCACAGUUGCAGUCUAGGAGUCCACCGGAUCAGGCACCAUCUAAUACUAAAGCAUUGAAUGAAUUGGCAUUUCUCAAUGCGGAUAUGUCUGCAAGCAUAAGUGUUGAUGCAUGGUUAAGCUUGAGAUUCCUUGGAACAAACCGUAGGCUCAUUGAUACUGCACCACACGCUGGUCGUUGGAUUUAUUUGGAUUUCAGCAACAUAGGUUGUUAGGGUCGGCAGUCCUAUAAAUGCUCUAUAGUGCAACUGAUGGCAGUAGCUGAAUAUUUUGCCCAUUGGGAUAUCAUCUAUGAUUUUGCUAAUGGAUUACAAAUCUAUAGAGUGCAUACAAAGGCACUACAGAUUGUGGACGAAUUAGGUAGUACCUUUCAAGUGGAAUUAUGCCAUGCUGGUGAUCUUAAGUGCAACCUCCCUCGACACUGCAUAACGAUACCCCGUGUUCAUAUUUUCUGCUUGUCGUCUUUGCAACAGAACACUGAUGAUUCAUGUUUCGCUAAGAAACUAUUACAUGAAGUCUGCUUUAUGCAGUCCUCUUAUAAAUUAUGUGCUCAAAAGGCACCAUCGGUGUUCAAGUUCAGUCACAAAAUUGUUCGCCUGAAGCUACCAAAUUACACGAAUGAAGGCAUUCCAUGUGUCCAGCCAACAUAUUACCUUGAAGGAGGCUCUGCUCAAGCAUAUUUGAAACUGCACGAAGUUUUGGCUGCUGUUGUUUACAUGUUUGAGGGUAGUACUAUUCAGAUCUGGGAGUUGUUUCUCUGUUUCGAGCGUCCACUGGACCAGGCAACACUCAAUACUAAACAGAUGCAGUUUGACUACAAGGACUUGCAGUUUGGUCCAUGCUACGUACCGCAGCAAAGUGAAGUUUUUCAGUUUUAUCUGGAUCGAACAAAAUUUCUGGGUUGCAGCCCUAUUUCUGAUAAAUUGCAGGGAAUUAUUCAUAUUAUGCAUGUCAGUGCACUGGAUGUUUUUGAGUCAAGAAGAAUUUAAAGGAGUGGUUGUGCUUCAAUCAACUUUCACACUAACAAUGCAUGGGAACGGUGCUCCAAUCUCCUUGGGAAUUGCAUAAGGAUACUUCCAGUGCAGCUCUCAUGCUCGUGGUUUUUGAAACGGGGCAAAAAUGAUUCAGGUUUCAAUGGUCAUGACAAGCUCCUUCACAGCAAGCAGCGAUUGGGUGCUCUAAGUACAACACUUCCAAGUAGUGUCUAUAUUCAGUUCGUGCAAUUUUGGCCAUUAUUGUCUUUUGCUCCAGCUGGUAUCACGAUGCAAUGGCAGUGGGACAAGCAUCAAUCGCGGGACAAAAAUUCACAACAUAUUUUUAUGUUGCCUCAACCCCUUUCUGAACCAAUAUUAUGUGAGGUUAACCAUGGCUGGUAUUUCGACACUCUCAAACUAUUUGCGAUUCAGGCUGUACAAUUUGCAACAGAGAUUCAUUAUUCAGAUUCCAGUCUAUUUGGUAGUGUAUCAUUCUCCUUUGGGCAUAAACAAAUGUUUUGCUGGACUCCAGAUACGCCAGCUAGUGGCGACCACCUUGAGCAAUUGUGGGAUCCUGGAGGCCUUGCAAGCUACAUAUGCAGUACAUGUGCAUUGACUUCCCUAGUGCAUUAUUUGUUUGCAGUUUGGCUUGCAUAUGCGACUCCUAUAUGCAUCCAGUUGGGAAUGGAGAAGCCAAUGGCCAGCGGCGAACUAAAUCAGGGGAUGACCAUCCAUUUCUUGCCUGGAACAUUGGAGCUUGAAUGCAGACUUGACAAGCUCAUAGCAAUACAGGGGUUCUUGCUGCCAUUAUAUUGCCAGUCAUGCAAGUCCAUGAGGAGUGGACAAAUCUGUGUGUGGGGCACACCUCAUGGUCUAGGAUGCUUCACAGUCAUCCAGGAAGGCUAUGGGACUUCAGCUUCCGAUCGAGGCACUUUUCAAGGAGGGAGGGUUUUCAUCACCAAUGUCGUUGUCGUCAUCGUGCAAGGCUCCAUCCACCACAAGUACUAUCUCAACUUCGAUCAAGACUAUGUUGGCAACGACCACUUCUGCGGCGCCUCUUGGGAUGGAGUCACCAUCGGCCACGGCUACUCCAACCUUGUCGUUCAAGCCAACCCCGACUUCGACUACCAUCAAGACUUCAAGCUAGUCAAGGAACGCCGCAUGCAAUGGGAUCAUGGCGGCUCUUGGUGGUGUCGGCUUGGGGUCAAGCCGCAUUUCAAGGAGGGGGAUGUUAGGAGCCCUCCUACUAUCACAUGCUUGGGCUGGCCCCUUGGGCCAGCUAAACGGGCUUGGCCCAUUCUGGAAUGACCAAGGCGAUAAGAGCCUAGGAGAGGCGACGUCCAGGGCAUCCAGUGGAUCACGGCUUUGGCACAGCGACUCUCUUCCCCUACCUCUUGUCCUCCUCCUUCUGUUCUUCCUGAUCCCCAAACCUUGUAUCUCCAUUGGUGUUGCUUGUAACCAAAGCUUGUAUCCAAUAGAUAUUGAGAGAGACAUCUGAUACCCUACACUAGUGGCACGGAACCGAUUGUCCAAGAGUAAGUAAUAUGCAACAGUUGCCUGGAAAAAUUGUCUAAAGUCAAUUAUGAAAUAACUG
Molecule: ribosomal RNA, 4052 nt
Filed under: Triticum aestivum (bread wheat)
Lineage: Eukaryota; Viridiplantae; Streptophyta; Magnoliopsida; Poales; Poaceae
Description: partial small subunit ribosomal RNA
Source: RNAcentral